Molecule: ribosomal RNA, 441 nt
Filed under: uncultured bacterium
Lineage: Bacteria
Description: partial 16S ribosomal RNA
Rfam family: Bacterial small subunit ribosomal RNA
Source: RNAcentral
AUGAACGCUGGCGGCGUGCCUUAUACCUGCCAGUCGAGUGGGUUUAGACCCACGGCAAACGGGUGAGUAACACGUAGGUACUUUCCUUGUCACAGGAAUAACCCUCCGAAAGGAGGGCUAAUACCUGAUGUGAUCGCAAGAUUAAAGGGUAUCCGCAAGGAUUACCGGACAAGAAGAGGCCUGCGGCCUAUCAGCUAGUUGGCGGGGUAAAUGCCCACCAAGGCUAUGACGGGUAGCUGGUCUUAUGAGGAUGAUCAGUCACAUGGGCACUGAGACACGGGCCCAACUCCUACGGGAGGCAGCAGUAGGGAAUUUUGCGCAAUGGGCGAAAGCCUGACGCAGCGACGCCGCGUGCGGGAUGAAGGCCUUCGGGUCGUAAACCGCUUUUAUAAGGGACGAACUUUGACGGUACCUUAUGAAUAAGAGGUUGCUAACUCUGUG